UUAACGAUGAUCGUAAUUUUCUUCAAUUCACGUAUAAUCAACAAAUCAAGAGAUAACAGUGGGUAGUUAUAUACUAUUUCCCAUAUCUCGUGUGUAUACCGAAAAGUACUCAGUUUUUAUACUCAUGUUAUUCAUGGUUCUAUUUUUCUUUUGUUUACUCUGUACGUGCACUUUUUUUAGAUUUUAAAAAUACACCGCGCGUGUAUCAUUUGUAACUGUAAGUUCAAACAGAAUUAAGGAAUGAAGAGAGGGCACG
This 256-nucleotide long non-coding RNA is filed under the name Mytilus galloprovincialis (Mediterranean mussel). The record is from RNAcentral. Lineage: Eukaryota; Metazoa; Mollusca; Bivalvia; Mytilida; Mytilidae.